RNAcentral lists this ribosomal RNA (322 nucleotides) under uncultured eukaryote. RNAcentral describes it as "partial 18S ribosomal RNA". It matches the Rfam family "Eukaryotic small subunit ribosomal RNA", at positions 1470 to 1796 of the family's 1831-position model. The record is from RNAcentral.
CCCUUAGAUAUCCUGGGCCGCACGCGCGCUACACUGACAUGUUCAACAAGUUUCUCCUAGUUCGACAGGACUGGGAAAUCUUUGAACGCAUGUCGUGAUAGGGAUAGAUCAUUGCAAUUAUUGAUCUUGAACGAGGAAUUCCUAGUAAACGCGAGUCAUCAGCUCGCAUUGAUUACGUCCCUGCCCUUUGUACACACCGCCCGUCGCACCUACCGAUUGAAUGUUUCGGUGAAGAUUCCGGAUAGGACUGAUUUGAUUUAUUUCAUUUCUGACCUAAAAGCUAUCUAAACCUCAACAUUUAGAGGAAGGUGAAGUCGUAACA